Long non-coding RNA from Lutra lutra (Eurasian river otter), 1130 nucleotides. RefSeq lists it as uncharacterized. The record is from RefSeq and is a predicted model, not a curated record. The transcript is spliced from 2 exons. NCBI's taxonomy places the organism in Eukaryota, Metazoa, Chordata, Mammalia, Carnivora, Mustelidae.
GGGGCGCCUGGGUGGCUCAGUGGGUUAAGCCGCUGCCUUCGGCUCAGGUCAUGAUCCCAGGACGCUGGGACCAUGACCUGAGCCGAAGGCAGCCGCUCAACCAACUGAACCACCCAGGCGUCCCAUGUCAAGCUUAUUUUUAAUCUCAGGGGAGCAUAGAGAGCAGAGGCUGGCUACUUGUACAAGCAAAGAAAUCUAGUCACCAAAAAGAGAUUUCUAUAUAUUUUGAUCCUUUUCCUCAAUCUAGGUGUUCGGUUACUGGUAUGAUGGAACUUAGAUGUCUCAGGCAGAGGAGUGUUUCCUCUUAUAAAUGACCGCCCUUUUAAAGAGGAAAGGUGUCCUGGGACUAGUAAGUGGCUAAGCUGACACAGGAACUCCAGCAGUAAAGAAUUUCUAAUCCUGGCUUUGCCAUGUGUGACGCUUCAAAAUACUUCACGUCGUCUUUGAGUCCCUUUGAUAACCCCGUGACAUCUAUGUUAUCCCCAAUUUGCAAAUAAGGAAACGGAGGCACACAGGUUAUAUAAUAGUACCCAGAGCCAUUUGUUUUUAGGAUUUUUGCAAAUAAUACAUUUAGUGGUUGAAAUCAAAUGACUGUCACUCCCCACAAAGACAAAUGAUAGCUGAGACCCCUAUUGUCAGCCUAGUCUUAAUUGAGAUCCACCAGGUAAUAGAGUUACCUUCUGUAAUGUGUAAUCAUGAUAUAAAAUGAGAUUUCUAAUGGGGUUAUAGUACCAAGGAAAAUGGAAUUCUGAGGUGAAUGAAACAGUCUUUUCACUGACUUAGGCCAACCCAUACUACAGGGACAAGUUUGGUGAUUUGGUGUGUGUGUUCUAUAUAAGAACGUGAAAGUGAGUAUGUUUAAAAUAACAUUAAAAAACAAUGUUUCAACAUUUUAAUUCAGUUAUUUGCUUGCUUUGUAAACUAAUCUAGCUUGUAAUUGUUGAAUACUGGCUAUGGAGGGGACAGCCUCUGUUUGCCAGCCCAGCACCCAUAUGCUUCCCUCUACCACUCAGGGUGCGUAGGACAGCUUGACUGAACACAGACUACCUGGUGAGUUGGACUAAGGUUCAGCAAGAUGAGUAGGUUAAGAAAUUUGAGAAAAGCAUUAAAGUUACAUACUUUCCAAAGAA